GACGUAGGGCGCGAGCGUUGUCCGGAUUUAUUGGGCGUAAAGAGCUCGUAGGCGGCUUGUCGCGUCGUCCGUGAAAACCCACAGCUCAACUGUGGGCUUGCGGUCGAUACGGGCAGGCUAGAGUUCGGUAGGGGAGACCGGAAUUCCUGGUGUAGCGGUGAAAUGCGCAGAUAUCAGGAGGAACACCGGUGGCGAAGGCGGGUCUCUGGGCCGAUACUGACGCUGAGGAGCGAAAGCGUGGGGAGCGAACAGG
This 253-nucleotide ribosomal RNA is filed under the name uncultured bacterium. RNAcentral describes it as "partial 16S ribosomal RNA". It matches the Rfam family "Bacterial small subunit ribosomal RNA", at positions 524 to 776 of the family's 1533-position model. The record is from RNAcentral.